CUAUGGGCUGUUCCUCAUGAAAAUAAGAGGAGAAGACCGACCAAACUUGGCUUAUAUAUGAGCUAGCUUGAUGCAUGGUUGCAAAGCUAAAACAUCUACCACUAAAGAAGUACUGAUCAUAUAGAUCAGUUCACUUAAACUAGCCUUUAUCAUUGGCCAUCAAAACUGACCUGAUAGCAAAAUGAUUGGAGUCCCAUGGUGGCAGA
RNAcentral lists this long non-coding RNA (206 nucleotides) under Pan troglodytes (chimpanzee). RNAcentral's name for it is "long non-coding RNA NONPTRT012000". The record is from RNAcentral. Lineage: Eukaryota; Metazoa; Chordata; Mammalia; Primates; Hominidae.